GCCAGGUACAGUAGCAUAUGCCUGUAAUCCCAGCUACUUAGGAGGCUGAGGCAGGAGGAUGGCAAGUUUAAGGCCAGCCUUAGUGACUUAGCAAGAUCCUGUCUCAA
RNAcentral lists this small RNA (107 nucleotides) under Marmota monax (woodchuck). The record is from RNAcentral. Lineage: Eukaryota; Metazoa; Chordata; Mammalia; Rodentia; Sciuridae.